Molecule: ribosomal RNA, 441 nt
Filed under: uncultured bacterium
Lineage: Bacteria
Description: partial 16S ribosomal RNA
Rfam family: Bacterial small subunit ribosomal RNA
Source: RNAcentral
CUACGGGCUGCUGCAGUGAGGAAUCUUCCGCAAUGGGCGAAAGCCUGACGGAGCGACACCGCGUGGAGGAUGACGGCCUUUUGGUUGUAAACUCCUUUUCUGGGGGAAUAAAUGAUGAAGGUACCCCAGGAAUAAGCACCGGCUAACUACGUGCCAGCAGCCGCGGUAAUACGUAGGGUGCAAGCGUUAUCCGGAAUUAUUGGGCGUAAAGCGUGCGCAGGCGGUUUAUUAAGUUUGUGGUUAAAUCUGGUGGCUCAACCAUCAAAUCGUCACAAAAACUGCUAAACUAGAGAAUGACAGAGGCAACUGGAAUUCUGCAUGUAGGGGUAAAAUCCGUUGAUAUGCAGAGGAACACCAAAAGCGAAGGCAGGUUGCUAGGUCAUUUCUGACGCUGUUGCACGAAAGCGUGGGGAGCAAACAGGAUUAGAUACCCCAGUAGUC